RNAcentral lists this ribosomal RNA (1491 nucleotides) under Helicobacter pylori GAM71Ai. Its description in RNAcentral is "bacterial SSU rRNA". It matches the Rfam family "Bacterial small subunit ribosomal RNA". The record is from RNAcentral. Lineage: Bacteria; Pseudomonadati; Campylobacterota; Epsilonproteobacteria; Campylobacterales; Helicobacteraceae.
AGAGUUUGAUCCUGGCUCAGAGUGAACGCUGGCGGCGUGCCUAAUACAUGCAAGUCGAACGAUGAAGCUUCUAGCUUGCUAGAAGCGGAUUAGUGGCGCACGGGUGAGUAACGCAUAGGUCAUGUGCCUCUUAGUUUGGGAUAGCCAUUGGAAACGAUGAUUAAUACCAGAUACUCCCUACGGGGGAAAGAUUUAUCGCUAAGAGAUCAGCCUAUGUCCUAUCAGCUUGUUGGUAAGGUAAUGGCUUACCAAGGCUAUGACGGGUAUCCGGCCUGAGAGGGUGAACGGACACACUGGAACUGAGACACGGUCCAGACUCCUACGGGAGGCAGCAGUAGGGAAUAUUGCUCAAUGGGGGAAACCCUGAAGCAGCAACGCCGCGUGGAGGAUGAAGGUUUUAGGAUUGUAAACUCCUUUUGUUAGAGAAGAUAAUGACGGUAUCUAACGAAUAAGCACCGGCUAACUCCGUGCCAGCAGCCGCGGUAAUACGGAGGGUGCAAGCGUUACUCGGAAUCACUGGGCGUAAAGAGCGCGUAGGCGGGAUAGUCAGUCAGGUGUGAAAUCCUAUGGCUUAACCAUAGAACUGCAUUUGAAACUACUAUUCUAGAGUGUGGGAGAGGUAGGUGGAAUUCUUGGUGUAGGGGUAAAAUCCGUAGAGAUCAAGAGGAAUACUCAUUGCGAAGGCGACCUGCUGGAACAUUACUGACGCUGAUUGUGCGAAAGCGUGGGGAGCAAACAGGAUUAGAUACCCUGGUAGUCCACGCCCUAAACGAUGGAUGCUAGUUGUUGGAGGGCUUAGUCCCUCCAGUAAUGCAGCUAACGCAUUAAGCAUCCCGCCUGGGGAGUACGGUCGCAAGAUUAAAACUCAAAGGAAUAGACGGGGACCCGCACAAGCGGUGGAGCAUGUGGUUUAAUUCGAAGAUACACGAAGAACCUUACCUAGGCUUGACAUUGAGAGAAUCCGCUAGAAAUAGUGGAGUGUCUAGCUUGCUAGACCUUGAAAACAGGUGCUGCACGGCUGUCGUCAGCUCGUGUCGUGAGAUGUUGGGUUAAGUCCCGCAACGAGCGCAACCCCCUUUCUUAGUUGCUAACAGGUCAUGCUGAGAACUCUAAGGAUACUGCCUCCGUAAGGAGGAGGAAGGUGGGGACGACGUCAAGUCAUCAUGGCCCUUACGCCUAGGGCUACACACGUGCUACAAUGGGGUGCACAAAGAGAAGCAAUACUGCGAAGUGGAGCCAAUCUUCAAAACGCCUCUCAGUUCGGAUUGUAGGCUGCAACUCGCCUGCAUGAAGCUGGAAUCGCUAGUAAUCGCAAAUCAGCCAUGUUGCGGUGAAUACGUUCCCGGGUCUUGUACUCACCGCCCGUCACACCAUGGGAGUUGUGUUUGCCUUAAGUCAGGAUGCUAAAUUGGCUACUGCCCACGGCACACACAGCGACUGGGGUGAAGUCGUAACAAGGUAACCGUAGGUGAACCUGCGGUUGGAUCACCU